RNAcentral lists this ribosomal RNA (114 nucleotides) under Acanthosepion pharaonis. The record is from RNAcentral. Lineage: Eukaryota; Metazoa; Mollusca; Cephalopoda; Sepiida; Sepiidae.
UUACGGUCAAAUCACACUGAAACAUCAGUUCUCGUUCGAUCACCGAAGUUAAGCAUCGUAGAGCCAGGUCAGUACUUAGAUGGGGGACCGCUUGGGAACACCUGGUACUGUAAG